This 482-nucleotide ribosomal RNA is filed under the name uncultured bacterium. RNAcentral's name for it is "partial 16S ribosomal RNA". It matches the Rfam family "Bacterial small subunit ribosomal RNA", at positions 28 to 507 of the family's 1533-position model. The record is from RNAcentral.
GAUGAACGCUGGCGGCGUGCCUAAUACAUGCAAGUCGAACGCUUCACUUCGGUGAAGAGUGGCUGAUGGGUGAGUAAUCCAUAAGUAACCUGGCAUCUACACGGGGAUAACUGUUGGAAACGCCAGCUAAGACCGCAGAGGUGUAGAGAUCGCAGCUACUCUAUCUGAAAAGUGCUACGGGACUGGUAGAUGAUGGACUUAUGGCGCAUUAGCUUGUUGGUAGGGUAACGGGCUACCAUGGCGACGAUGCGUACCCGACCUCAGAGAGUGACGGGCCACACGAGAACGGGACCACGGCCCAGACUCCUAAGGGACGCAGCAGUAGGGAAUUUUCGGCAAUAGUGGAAACCCUGACAGAGCAACGCCGCGUGAGAUGAAGAGUCGUUCGUUAUGUAAUGUUCUGUCAUAGAGGAAGAACGGUGGAUAUAGGGGAUGAUGCCCGAGUGACGGUACUCUAUAAGAAAGCAACGGCUAACUACGUG